GCAGUCGAACGAGUUCUCGUUGAUGAUCGGUGCUUGCACCGAGAUUCAACAUGGAACGAGUGGCGGACGGGUGAGUAACACGUGGGUAACCUGCCCUUAAGUGGGGGAUAACAUUUGGAAACAGAUGCUAAUACCGCAUAGAUCCAAGAACCGCAUGGUUCUUGGCUGAAAGAUGGCGUAAGCUAUCGCUUUUGGAUGGACCCGCGGCGUAUUAGCUAGUUGGUGAGGUAAUGGCUCACCAAGGCGAUGAUACGUAGCCGAACUGAGAGGUUGAUCGGCCACAUUGGGACUGAGACACGGCCCAAACUCCUACGGGAGGCAGCAGUAGGGAAUCUUCCACAAUGGACGCAAGUCUGAUGGAGCAACGCCGCGUGAGUGAAGAAGGCUUUCGGGUCGUAAAACUCUGUUGUUGGAGAAGAAUGGUCGGCAGAGUAACUGUUGUCGGCGUGACGGUAUCCAACCAGAAAGCCACGGCUAACUACGUGCCAGCAGCCGCGGUAAUACGUAGGUGGCAAGCGUUAUCCGGAUUUAUUGGGCGUAAAGCGAGCGCAGGCGGUUUUUUAAGUCUGAUGUGAAAGCCCUCGGCUUAACCGAGGAAGCGCAUCGGAAACUGGGAAACUUGAGUGCAGAAGAGGACAGUGGAACUCCAUGUGUAGCGGUGAAAUGCGUAGAUAUAUGGAAGAACACCAGUGGCGAAGGCGGCUGUCUGGUCUGUAACUGACGCUGAGGCCCGAAAGCAUGGGUAGCGAACAGGAUUAGAUACCCUGGUAGUCCAUGCCGUAAACGAUGAAUGCUAGGUGU
This 801-nucleotide ribosomal RNA is filed under the name uncultured bacterium. Its description in RNAcentral is "bacterial SSU rRNA". It matches the Rfam family "Bacterial small subunit ribosomal RNA", at positions 57 to 823 of the family's 1533-position model. The record is from RNAcentral.